Molecule: transfer RNA, 90 nt
Filed under: Pseudomonadales bacterium
Lineage: Bacteria; Pseudomonadati; Pseudomonadota; Gammaproteobacteria; Pseudomonadales
Description: tRNA-Ser
Rfam family: tRNA
About the family: Transfer RNA (tRNA) molecules are approximately 80 nucleotides in length. Their secondary structure includes four short double-helical elements and three loops (D, anti-codon, and T loops). Further hydrogen bonds mediate the characteristic L-shaped molecular structure. tRNAs have two regions of fundamental functional importance: the anti-codon, which is responsible for specific mRNA codon recognition, and the 3' end, to which the tRNAs corresponding amino acid is attached (by aminoacyl-tRNA synthetases). tRNAs cope with the degeneracy of the genetic code in two manners: having more than one tRNA (with a specific anti-codon) for a particular amino acid; and 'wobble' base-pairing, i.e. permitting non-standard base-pairing at the 3rd anti-codon position.
Source: RNAcentral
GGAGAGGUGCGAGAGCGGUUGAAUCGACUUGACUCGAAAUCAAGAGAAGGGGAAACCCUUCCGUGGGUUCGAAUCCCACCCUCUCCGCCA